CAGUUCGGAUUGAAGGCUGAAAUUCGCCUUCAUGAAGCUGGAAUUGCUAGUAAUGGCAGGUCAGCAUACUGCCGUGAAUACGUUCCCGGGCCUUGUACACACCGCCCGUCACACCAUGAGAGUUGGAAAUACCCGAAGCCUGUGAGCUAACUUUUAGAGGCAGCAGUCGAAGGUAGAGCCAAUGAUUGGGGUGAAGUCGUAACAAGGUACC
RNAcentral lists this ribosomal RNA (211 nucleotides) under uncultured bacterium. RNAcentral describes it as "partial 16S ribosomal RNA". It matches the Rfam family "Bacterial small subunit ribosomal RNA", at positions 1289 to 1500 of the family's 1533-position model. The record is from RNAcentral.